RNAcentral lists this ribosomal RNA (301 nucleotides) under uncultured bacterium. RNAcentral's name for it is "partial 16S ribosomal RNA". It matches the Rfam family "Bacterial small subunit ribosomal RNA", at positions 509 to 807 of the family's 1533-position model. The record is from RNAcentral.
CAGUAGCCGCGGUAAAACGGAGGGUGCAAGCGUUAAUCGGAAUUACUGGGUUUAAAGGGUGCGUAGGCGGCAUGCUAAGUCAGGGGUGAAAGACGGUGGCUCAACCAUCGCAGUGCCUUUGAUACUGGUGUGCUUGAAUGUACAUGAGGUAGGCGGAAUGAGACAAGUAGCGGUGAAAUGCAUAGAUAUGUCUCAGAACACCAAUUGCGAAGGCAGCUUACUAAGGUAUGAUUGACGCUGAUGCACGAAAGCGUGGGGAUCAAACAGGAUUAGAUACCCCCGUAGUCCCUGUCUCUUAUAC